AGUGGUUAAGAGCUUGGCUGCUAACCAAAAGGUUGGUGGUUCGAAUCCACCAGCUGCUC
RNAcentral lists this transfer RNA (59 nucleotides) under Loxodonta africana (African savanna elephant). It matches the Rfam family "tRNA", at positions 14 to 71 of the family's 71-position model. From Rfam's summary of the family: Transfer RNA (tRNA) molecules are approximately 80 nucleotides in length. Their secondary structure includes four short double-helical elements and three loops (D, anti-codon, and T loops). Further hydrogen bonds mediate the characteristic L-shaped molecular structure. tRNAs have two regions of fundamental functional importance: the anti-codon, which is responsible for specific mRNA codon recognition, and the 3' end, to which the tRNAs corresponding amino acid is attached (by aminoacyl-tRNA synthetases). tRNAs cope with the degeneracy of the genetic code in two manners: having more than one tRNA (with a specific anti-codon) for a particular amino acid; and 'wobble' base-pairing, i.e. permitting non-standard base-pairing at the 3rd anti-codon position. The record is from Rfam by way of RNAcentral. Lineage: Eukaryota; Metazoa; Chordata; Mammalia; Proboscidea; Elephantidae.